This is a long non-coding RNA of Agelaius phoeniceus (red-winged blackbird), 857 nucleotides long. RefSeq lists it as uncharacterized. The record is from RefSeq and is a predicted model, not a curated record. Lineage: Eukaryota; Metazoa; Chordata; Aves; Passeriformes; Icteridae.
ACGCUUUGAAAAUACAAACAUAUUUCUCUAUCCGGGGCCAAGGCCGGGGCUGCUCCCGGAAGGAAACGCCGCGGCCCCGGGAGCGCAGGCGCGGAACCGGGAGCGGCAAUGGCGGAGCCCGGGGAGCGGCGCGGCCGGGCCGGGGCACCGGGGGCGGCGGCGCCGGGCUCGGAGCCAAGAACAUCCCAAAGUGCCUCCUCACCCUCAUGGACAGCAGGAACGUCUUCCAUGGCUCCUGUUUAGGAAUGGCAGUGGCCGUUGGGAGCUCUGGCAGGAGCACCUGGAGACCAGCAGGAAAACAUUUAAACAAGAGGUGCCAAAGAGAAUUGGAGCUUCUGCACAAUGAAAUCUGCAAGAAUCCAACUUCAAAUCCCCCUGGAUUGUCACCGGUCCCACUUCCAUGGACUGGUCACCGUGGCCAGGAGUGCCCAAUCCUGCUGGAAAUGCACUGAACCAGGAUGUCAUUUUCACUUGAUGCUGGUAAAGACCCUCUGGGUGACCCCCAGUCACUGGAAGGACCAGACUGGGCUCCCAGGGCACUAAUUCCAGGGGUUCUGUUUUUGGGAAUAGCACAGGAGCCUUUCCCUUGCCCAGAGGAGCAGCAAGUGCCUCAAAUCCCCAGGAUGGACACAGAGAAAAUAACAGGAAUAUGGAAAUCCCCCACACUGGGAGUUUGUGGUGCUCUGGAUUACAUUUUGGAUUUAAAAUGUUAAAGGAGGGUGUGGAGGGGCUUUUCUCUCUCUCCUGUUCAUUAUUGUUCUCACUGCUCUUGUUGCUCUCACUGUUAUUGUGUGUUGUCAUUAAUAUUAAAUUAUUGUAUUUGACUGGUUUCCAUUAUUAAACUGUUCUGAGCUGGA